AGUGAACGCUGGCGGUAGGCCUAACACGUGCAAGUCGAACGGCAGCACAGUAAGAGCUUGCUCUUACGGGUGGCGAGUGGCGGACGGGUGAGGAAUACAUCGGAAUCUACUUUUUCGUGGGGGAUAACGUAGGGAAACUUACGCUAAUACCGCAUACGACCUACGGGUGAAAGCAGGGGAUCUUCGGACCUUGCGCGAUUGAAUGAGCCGAUGUCGGAUUAGCUAGUUGGCGGGGUAAAGGCCCACCAAGGCGACGAUCCGUAGCUGGUCUGAGAGGAUGAUCAGCCACACUGGAACUGAGACACGGUCCAGACUCCUACGGGAGGCAGCAGUGGGGAAUAUUGGACAAUGGGCGCAAGCCUGAUCCAGCCAUACCGCGUGGGUGAAGAAGGCCUUCGGGUUGUAAAGCCCUUUUGUUGGGAAAGAAAAGCAGCAGGUUAAUACCCCGCUGUUCUGACGGUACCCAAAGAAUAAGCACCGGCUAACUUCGU
Molecule: ribosomal RNA, 491 nt
Filed under: uncultured bacterium
Lineage: Bacteria
Description: partial 16S ribosomal RNA
Rfam family: Bacterial small subunit ribosomal RNA
Source: RNAcentral